Molecule: non-coding RNA, 69 nt
Organism: Ictidomys tridecemlineatus (thirteen-lined ground squirrel)
Lineage: Eukaryota; Metazoa; Chordata; Mammalia; Rodentia; Sciuridae
Source: Rfam
GGAAUUGUGGCUCAGUGGCAGAGCACUUGCCUCACACGUAUGAGGCACUGGGUUCAAUCCUCAGCACCA